GACGAACGCUGGCGGCGUGCUUAACACAUGCAAGUCGAACGGAAAGGCCCUGCUUUUGUGGGUUGCUCGAGUGGCGAACGGGUGAGUAACACGUGAGUAACCUGCCCUUGACUUUGGGAUAACUUCAGGGGACUCGGGCUAAUACCGGAUAUGAGCUCCUGCUGCAUGGUGUGGGUUGGAAAGUUUCGGCUGUUGGGGAUGUACUCGCGGCUUAUCAGCUUGUUGGUCGGGUAGUUGCUUACCAAGGCUUCGACGGGUAGCCGGCCUGAGAGGGUGACCGGCCACAUGGGGCCUGAGAUACGGACCAGACUGCUACGGGAGGCAGCAGUGGGGAAUAUUGCACAAUGGGCCGAAGCCUGAUGCAGCAACGCCGGGUGCGGGAUGACGGCCUUCGGGUGGUAAACCGAUUUCGCCUGUGACGAAGCGUGAGUGACGGUAAUGGGUAAAGAAGCACCGGCUAACUACGUG
Molecule: ribosomal RNA, 468 nt
Filed under: uncultured bacterium
Lineage: Bacteria
Description: partial 16S ribosomal RNA
Rfam family: Bacterial small subunit ribosomal RNA
Source: RNAcentral